CCCCAUUUCUCGAUCUCUUUGGUUGUACAAAGUGGUAUGGCACUUCCAGAAUCAGUUGCUCAUACCGCUUUUCGGCUGAAGGAAUCGAUUAUGUGGGGC
Caenorhabditis tropicalis is the source of this 99-nucleotide non-coding RNA. The record is from Rfam. NCBI's taxonomy places the organism in Eukaryota, Metazoa, Nematoda, Chromadorea, Rhabditida, Rhabditidae.